This is a long non-coding RNA of Hypomesus transpacificus, 228 nucleotides long. RefSeq lists it as uncharacterized. Lineage: Eukaryota; Metazoa; Chordata; Actinopteri; Osmeriformes; Osmeridae. The transcript is spliced from 3 exons. The record is from RefSeq and is a predicted model, not a curated record.
CAAACUCAUACCUGUAGAGGCAAAUUCAGAGACAGGGCUCAAGGCUUGUGAAAAAAGGACUGGAUAAUGGUAUUUGCAUACCAAGAAGUAGUUGACAGCGACAGAAGACCUUGAGUGAGACAGCAGUGAAGAGAACAACGUGCAUCUCUUUUCCACUCAACCAUGAAAGUGGCAGCGAUUGAGGCAGCGAGACCACCAAGUGCCAAAACAUAGCCGAUAAUUUGAAUU